RNAcentral lists this transfer RNA (77 nucleotides) under Thermoplasmata archaeon. Its description in RNAcentral is "tRNA-His". It matches the Rfam family "tRNA". From Rfam's summary of the family: Transfer RNA (tRNA) molecules are approximately 80 nucleotides in length. Their secondary structure includes four short double-helical elements and three loops (D, anti-codon, and T loops). Further hydrogen bonds mediate the characteristic L-shaped molecular structure. tRNAs have two regions of fundamental functional importance: the anti-codon, which is responsible for specific mRNA codon recognition, and the 3' end, to which the tRNAs corresponding amino acid is attached (by aminoacyl-tRNA synthetases). tRNAs cope with the degeneracy of the genetic code in two manners: having more than one tRNA (with a specific anti-codon) for a particular amino acid; and 'wobble' base-pairing, i.e. permitting non-standard base-pairing at the 3rd anti-codon position. Lineage: Archaea; Methanobacteriati; Thermoplasmatota; Thermoplasmata. RNAcentral also lists the same sequence under 1 other name. The record is from RNAcentral.
GUGAGCGUAGCUCAAUUGGUUAGAGCUCUGGACUGUGGAUCCAGUGGUCGGGGGUUCAAAUCCCCUCGCUCACCCCA